AAGUCCCUUCGGGGAUGAGUACAGCGGCGGACGGGUGAGAAACGCGUGAGAAUUUACCCUUUAGUGAAGAAUACCCUCGAGAAAUCGAGGUUAAUACUGCAUACGUCCCUUCGGGGAGAAAGAUGGCCUCUUUGCUGUCGCUAAAGGAUAAGCUUGCGUACUAUUAGCUAGUUGGUGAGGUAAAGGCUCACCAAGGCGAUGAUGGUUAGCCGGCCUGAGAGGGUGUACGGCCACACUGGAACUUAGACACGGUCCAGACUCCUACGGGAGGCAGCAGUGGGGAAUAUUGCGCAAUGGGCGAAAGCCUGACGCAGCGACGCCGCGUGGAGGAUGAAGGUCUUCGGA
Molecule: ribosomal RNA, 345 nt
Filed under: uncultured bacterium
Lineage: Bacteria
Description: bacterial SSU rRNA
Rfam family: Bacterial small subunit ribosomal RNA
Source: RNAcentral